Molecule: ribosomal RNA, 821 nt
Filed under: Clathrinidae sp. 4 JV-2020
Lineage: Eukaryota; Metazoa; Porifera; Calcarea; Clathrinida; Clathrinidae
Description: partial large subunit ribosomal RNA
Rfam family: Eukaryotic large subunit ribosomal RNA
Source: RNAcentral
UCCUCAGUAACGGCGAGUGAAGCGGGAACAGCUCAAUUUGAAAUCUGCUGCGUCUUGCGCGGUAGAAUUGUAGUUAAGAGAAGUGUUUUCCCCGGGAUGCUCUCUGGCCUAAGUUGCUUGGAACAGCACGUCAUAGAGGGUGAGAACCCCGUCUGUGGCUCGGAGAGCUCUUGGUACGAUGCACUUUCGACGAGUCGGGUUGUUUGGGAAUGCAGCCCUAACUGGGUGGUAAACUCCAUCUAAAGCUAAAUAUUGCCACGAGACCGAUAGCGAACAAGUACCGUGAGGGAAAGAUGAAAAGCACUUUGAAAAGAGAGUUAAAAGCACGUGAAGCCGUUGAAAGGGAAACGCGCUCGGCUAGCAAUGUGUCACGACGGUUCAGCCGGUUUGGCUGUGGAGGUUGCUGCUGUCGGAUCCGAACGGACCGCGGUGGUGAUCGUCCGCAGUCGAACUGCGGUGCACUCUGUCGUGGCACGCGUCAGCGUCGGUUCGCAGUUCAGGCGAUAAGGCACGGAGGGAAGGUAGCUCGGGGCUUGCCCUGAGCAUUAUAGCCACCUGUGCUGGGUCUGGUGCGGACCGAGGAGAGAGAGGAUCGCUGCAGUGCAUGCCGCAAGGCUAGCUGCCCGCUGUCAGGUUCGUUCCACAGGCUGAGGACUGCACGCAGUGUUCGGCUUGGCGGGGUGGCCAGGCGGUGGAGUGGUAUAAAUGCACUUAGGACGCUGGCGUCCAAAUGGCCGUGCGCGACCCGUCUUGAAACACGGACCAAGGAGUCUAACAUGUGCGCGAGUCUUUGGGUGUGAAAACCCGUGGGCACAAUGAAA